AGUCUCACCUCAGACAUCCCAACUCCUAAGCCAAUGCUAAUGUUCUAUUGGAGCACAAGUAGGGGAAUUGAAAUUGUGUUAUAAGAGUUGAUAAACAAAUAUGGCAUUAAGACCAUUGGUCUCAGGACAAAAUCUACCAACCUUUUUCCGCUGCCUAAAACUCUCCUUUCAAGCCAAGGAGAAGACAUUGCCUCCUCAGAAGAUCCUCCAAACAAGUAUCAGUAGAAGAAUAGGAUCAAUA
This 241-nucleotide unclassified non-coding RNA is filed under the name Hevea brasiliensis (rubber tree). Lineage: Eukaryota; Viridiplantae; Streptophyta; Magnoliopsida; Malpighiales; Euphorbiaceae. The record is from RNAcentral.